RNAcentral lists this long non-coding RNA (554 nucleotides) under Nicotiana benthamiana. Its description in RNAcentral is "long non-coding RNA (NBEN_LNC034274)". Lineage: Eukaryota; Viridiplantae; Streptophyta; Magnoliopsida; Solanales; Solanaceae. The record is from RNAcentral.
CCUUCCUAGUACCUGCUUUGCCCCAUUGUGGCUCCCAAUAAUCUGACAUGUGUCCGUGGCUUAAUGAAUAAAAGGUGUAGUUUAAAUGCAUAGGCGAAAGGACGACAAAAAUCCAAAUCUUCUCUCUCUCUUUUUCUUCAUAGAAUCUGACAAAUGACAUGCCGUCACGCGGCUGUUCCCUAAAUGACAAAAUACGUGUCAUACUCCAAGGUAGUGGAUGUAGUUUGAUUGAGAUAGUUAGGGUAGUUUGGUCAAUGCACUUACCUGGCGAGAGAAGAGUGAUAAUAUUUUGUCGCCACGUGCCAUGGCGUCGGCCGCACGCAAGAAAAGCUAGAGUUACAGCAUAUUUUGAAACGUAUAGGGUGUAUACGAAUACCACUCCAUAUUGAAUAGAAUAUAUUAGUGGUGUUCAUCGAACAGAUUGAGCGUCUUUUUACUCUUAAUGAUUUGGCUUAACGGUUAUCGACUUUUAAAUGUAUUCAUUCGUUAGCUACCCGAUAAGAUAUCGGGCGGAUUGGUAUCGGGUUAGCUCUUAUCGGGCGGUUACCGGGCGG